CAGGUUUUCUUGUAUGGCCUC
Molecule: non-coding RNA, 21 nt
Filed under: Arabidopsis thaliana (thale cress)
Lineage: Eukaryota; Viridiplantae; Streptophyta; Magnoliopsida; Brassicales; Brassicaceae
Source: RNAcentral